AACGAACGCUGGCGGCGUGGAUAAGACAUGCAAGUCGAACGCUGGCUUACGGGUAGCAAUAUUCGUAAGUUGGAGUGGCGCAAGGGUGCGUAACACGUGGGCAAUUUGCCGUGAAGUGGGGGAUAAUUCCGCGAAAGCGGGACUAAUACCGGAUGUGAAUAUCUGGAGGCAUCUUCGGAUAUUUAAAGUUGGGGACCGCAAGGCCUGACGCUUCACGAUGAGCCCGCGGCCUAUCAGCUAGUUGGUGAGGUAACGGCCCACCAAGGCUAAGACGGGUAGCUGGUCUGAGAGGACGACCAGCCACACUGGAACUGAGACACGGUCCAGACACCUACGGGAGGCUG
Molecule: ribosomal RNA, 344 nt
Filed under: uncultured Verrucomicrobiota bacterium
Lineage: Bacteria; Pseudomonadati; Verrucomicrobiota
Description: bacterial SSU rRNA
Rfam family: Bacterial small subunit ribosomal RNA
Source: RNAcentral